CCCUUAGAUGUCCUGGGCCGCACGCGCGCUACACUGAUGCAUUCAACAAGUUCUACCUUGGCCGAGAGGCCUGGGCAAUCUUUUAAACGUGCAUCGUGAUAGGGAUAGAUUAUUGAAAUUUUUAAUCUUGAACGAGGAAUUCCUAGUAAACGCAGAUCAUCAAUCUGCAUUGAUUACGUCCCUGCCCUUUGUACACACCGCCCGUCGCACCUACCGAUUGGAUGGUCCGGUGAAGCCUCGGGAUUGUGGUUCUUGCCGCUUUAUUGUGGCGUGACCGCGAGAACUUGUCUAAACCUUAUCAUCUAGAGGAAGGUGAAGUCGUAACA
RNAcentral lists this ribosomal RNA (326 nucleotides) under uncultured eukaryote. RNAcentral's name for it is "partial 18S ribosomal RNA". It matches the Rfam family "Eukaryotic small subunit ribosomal RNA", at positions 1470 to 1796 of the family's 1831-position model. The record is from RNAcentral.